RNAcentral lists this long non-coding RNA (2900 nucleotides) under Homo sapiens (human). Its description in RNAcentral is "HSALNT0112550". The record is from RNAcentral. Lineage: Eukaryota; Metazoa; Chordata; Mammalia; Primates; Hominidae.
UAUUUAUAAUCUUAUUCAGUUUGUCAACAGAAUUUCAUGUGGUUGUUAAAAUGAGGUCCCCAUUUCCUCAUUGACUACUGGCCCAUAAUCAUUCUCAGCUUCUAGAAGAUGCUGACAUCCUUGACUUGUGUCUCUCUUCCUCCAUCUUCAAAGACAGCAGUGUUAGGUCAAGUCCCUCUUAUAAUUCAAAUAUAUCUGAAUUUCUUUCUGUGGCAUCUUUUGGCUCAACUUUGAGACAUUUCCUUUUUUUUUUCAGGGCUUAUGUGUUUAGAUUUUGGCUUACUUUGAUAAUCCAGGACCAUCUCCUGAUUUUAAGGAAAGCCCCACACUGAUGAGAAACUGCUAGGAUGGAAGCAAAGUUGAGUAGAAUGUAAGCAAAAUAGAUGAAUAAAAGAUAAAUUAUAGAUAAAACGAAGGAUAAAGAGACAGUAAAUAUUAGAAAGCAAGUCAUCAUAUGUUUGUGCAUUUCACAAAAACAAUAGAAGAGGGGCUGGGCACAGUGGCUCACACCUGUAAUCUCAGCACUUUGGGAAGCCGAGGUGGGUGGAUCAUGAGGUCAGGAGAUGGAGACCAUCCUGGCUAUCAUGGUGAAACCCUGUCUCUACUAACAAUACAAAAAAUUAGCCUGGCAUGGUGGCAUGCGCCUGUAGUCCCAGCUACUCGGGAGGCUGAGGCAGGAGAAUCCCUUGAACCCAGAAGGCAGAGGUUACAGUGAGCCAAGAUCACCCUACUGCACUCCAGCCUGGGCAACAUGGCAAGACUCCAUCUCAAAAAAAAAAAAAAAAAAAAAAAAACAACCAAAAAACAAUAGAAGAGUUAUGUUAAAUAUGUAUCUCCUAGCAAAAUAAUCAGCAACAGAAAGGUGUUGAGAUUAAAUAGCACACCGAUUGCUAAAAGAAAAAAGAUGAUAAGAAGUAAAGUAAUAUCCCUACCGGCAAAGGAAUUAUGGCAGAAAGAUAUGGCCACAAAACAACCUGUACAUAAGUUUAACUAUACACAUAAGGAAUGGUUAUAAGACAUUAAAAAACAUAAAUUAGAAUAACUAGAAAUGAGGUAAAAGAGUUUAGAAAUGAAUUAGAAAUAAAAAAAUAGAAAUGAAUAAAAAAUUAGAGAAAAUGCAAAAGAAAACCAUAACAGAUAAUGUUUUAAGAGAAAUAGAAAGUGAAAGCAAAUACUUUUUUAAACAUUGGAAAUAAAUGAAGAGAUAAAAAGGUAUUUAAGACAAUGACAAAUUAUGGAGAUUGAUAAAAAAGAUCCAACAAAAGGAUAAAAGGGGAGUUGGGGAAGGAGAAACAAGGGAACAGAACAAAUGCACAACAAAAUGUAAUCCCUGAAAAAAAUAUGACUACAAAUUGAAAGAUCCACAUUGUUUCAUACAUCUGAGAUUAUCUGAGAAUACUGACCCAGAAUAAUCAAUAUCAAUGCAUAUUCUAGUAAAGUACUGGACUUUAAAGGAAAGAAAAAAAAUAGCUGAUGGUUUAUAAAGAAAAAAUAGAUUUUCAUCAGACUUUUGGCAGCAACACUUUAUGCACUAAAGAAAUAGAAUAAUAUAUUUAAUGAUAAUGAAAGAAAGAAAAUGUACCUUUGAAUAAAUAUUUACUUGGAGAACUAAAAUUAAAUGAGAGUUUAAUUUAAAAGGGAGAGUAUUUUAAUAGCUACAUGUUCUGCCAAUGUAAAUAUAGUACAACUAUUCUAAAUAACAUAGAAGAUGACUGGAGAAACAAUAUGGAAAACUGUGACCUAUUCCAGUAAUCAUAAGGAGAAUUGUUAUUCUGAGAAUGUUGUGUGUAUAAUGUGAAAUAAAACUAUCUGGUUUUAUAAAGUAUUUUAAUUGUACCAUCCUCUGUGUCUUUGAGAAACAAGGACACUUGUGAAAGAAUGAAGAAAUAGGUACACUUCAGAUGAAGUUAAAUAAAGACUCUGUCCUGAAGUUGAAUUGUAUCAGAAUAAAGUAAUGAGACAUUUUUAUAUACGUACGUUUAAAAAUAACAGCCCCGUACACUGAAAAGGCCUAGAAAGAAAAUCGCAAGUUCUUAGCAUGAAGAGGGUGAAUCUAGAAUUAUCAAAGAACACUAAGGUCAUGUGAAAAAGAUUUAGAAAUUUCCAUGGAAUAACUUGAGUUUCAAAAGGAUAUAAUAAUAAUUCAUUAUUUUAAAACCAGGGGAAAUAAAAGGAAAACAAUCAAUUAAUUAUCUUGACUUACCUAUAUAAACAAUAUCACUGAGUGAACAAACAGUAUAUGAGGAUGACUAUCUCUACCAAAUUCUUUCCAUUAAUAUGUGAAAAAGAAAGGACAGAAUUUUAAAAGUACUGUUUUGCAGUCUCUUAUAAAUUAAUAGAUUUAGGCAUUGAGCAUCAACAGCCAAUAACACCCAGAAAGAGAGAACACCAGACACUGAUGAAUAAACCCAAAACUAACCAUAGUCUUGUCAAAAUGAUAAACAUUCUGAUCAAGCAUCUGGAUUCAGCCAACAAUUUGCAAGGAACACAGAGGACAGAGGAACUAUGCUGACUUCACUAAGAAACAUCAAUCAAUAAAAUUCAGAUUGUGGAAGACUUCCAAUGUGAAUUAUUGGUAUUUUUUAAGAGAAGUGGAAGACAAAAUGGAAUAGAGAAGGGAACUGGUAGAUGAAUAGCAACUUAGAAGACAUUGCCUUAAAAAAAAGGGGUAAGACCCAACUAUUGUUCCUAGGGAUGCCUACUUGGGUGAUAAAACUAUAAAGAAAUGCAAGGAAAUAAUUGCUAUAAAAAUUAGAGUAGUGGCUACUUUGGAGAGACCAAAAGGGGCUUAUGAUUGAAUGGUGCACAUACAGAAGCUUCUCGGUGGCUGGCAAAGUUCUAUUUAUUGAUCUGGAUGGUGUUCACCAGGAUGUUGAUUUUACAACAAUGCAUUAAAUUAU